CAUGGGCCAGUGGCUGAGUCCCGGCUCCACGAGGAGAUGUUGGGAGAAGGCAGCACACAUUGAGGAGAAGCAAGGAGCACCACUCCUGAUGGUCCCCUCCAGAGCCCCAGGAAACUCUUGUUAGCAAUCUUAGAUUAAAUUCAGAGUUUCUGGAUCACGACAGGAAGCUGUGUCCAGCACGAAGGUGUCCUGUGAACAGGCUCAAUCACAAGCUCUGCAGAGACGGGAAGUGACAGAGGCCCCAGAAAGCCAGUUCCCGACAACGCCAAUACUGCACGUUUAUCAGCUGCGGCAAGAGCCGGCCAGAGGCGGUGGCAGCACCUCAAUGCCCUUGCCUCGUCUUCAAGAUUCUUCUGUUUGAUGUUGCGUCCUCACUGUUCCUCUGCUGAGGAGCUGUAGUGUGGCUCACAACUACGCGAUGACUCUCCAGAUUCAAAGACCACAUCUCACCCUCUCUAAAGCCCCAGGGGCCCAGCGCAGUGCCGAGUGCAGAAGGAUUGAUGAGCAUUUGCUGAGCCGGGUGCUAAUCCCAUGGGCAUUGUUUCCUCUGCCCUCAGUCUCCAGCCUGCAGACGCCUGAAUGGAUUCUGGAGAGGUGUGCGUUGGACUCUGAAGGUCCUCUGAGCCCAUCCAGGAUAAAGAUGCUCUCUCCCAGGCGUCUGCUCAGCCGCCGGCUAUCGGCAGGACAUUGCGCACCAGGUAUCUUCAAGCUGCUUCUGGCUGGAUUUAGGGCAUGAUGGAAACAUCAAAACAACUGUAGUUCUGCCACGGGGUCCCACAUCUGCUUAUCCUGGGACAGCCACGCAGUCCCCACCCAGGAAGCGGCAGCAGGUUUCAGCACCCUGGAGAGGGCCAGGCCCCUGUGGCUGGUCAAGCUCCUCAGUGUUAAGGGAGCAGCUCAGGAAGGCCCCGCCCAGGACGAUGAGGGGACCAGGAAUGAAGUCAGCAGGGAUGAGACAUGUGAGGACCAGUGAGAAGUACUCAUCUUUUACAAUGAAUGUCAACAGACUCUUACAAAUGAAUUCACCCCAGACUACACUGUCAGCUCCUGGGGACAGGUUUAAAUCGC
RNAcentral lists this long non-coding RNA (1068 nucleotides) under Homo sapiens (human). Its description in RNAcentral is "HSALNT0371858". Lineage: Eukaryota; Metazoa; Chordata; Mammalia; Primates; Hominidae. The record is from RNAcentral.